GCCUACGACUAUACCACGGUAAAUAUACGGCAUCCCGUACGAUUUGCCAAGUCAAGCACCGUUGGGUUGGAGUAGUACUUGGGUCCGAGACGGCCUGGGAAUUCCCAUUGUCGUAAGCA
RNAcentral lists this ribosomal RNA (119 nucleotides) under Soboliphyme baturini. Lineage: Eukaryota; Metazoa; Nematoda; Enoplea; Dioctophymatida; Soboliphymatidae. The record is from RNAcentral.